GUAGAGUUUGAUCCUGGCUCAGGACUAACGCUAGCGGUGCGUCUAAUGCAUGCAAGUCGUACGGUCCGCUGGACUUCGGUCCAAACGGAUAGUGGCAAACGGCUGAGUAACACGUAAGUAACCAACCUCGUAGUGGGGAAUAACUCCGAGAAAUCGGGACUAAUUCCGCAUGUGUAUAUUAGUUUAAUGAUUAAUAUGGAAAGGCUUCAUUUCGGUGAAGUCGCUAUGAGACGGGCUUGCGUCCUAUCAGGUAGUUGGUGAGGUAAUGGCUCACCAAGCCUAAGACGGGUAACCGGUGUGAGAGCAUGAACGGUCAGAGGGGGACUGAGACACGGCCCCCACUCCUACGGGAGGCAGCAGCAGGGAAUCUUGCGCAAUGGGCUGAAUAAGCCUGACGCAGCGACACCGCGUGGAGGAAGACAGCUUUCGAGUUGUAAACUCCUUUUCUCAAGGAAGAGAGAGGACGGUACUUGAGGAAUAAGCUUCGGCUAACUACGUGCCAGCAGCCGCGGUAAUACGUAGGAAGCGAGCGUUGUCCGGAUUUACUGGGCGUAAAGGGCAAGCAGGUGGUCGAUUAUGUCCUAUGUGAAAUCUCCGUGCUCAACGCGGAGCGGUCAUAGGAAACUGGUCGACUAGAGGCCAGCAGAGGGAAGCAGAAUUUCCGGUGUAGCGGUGAAAUGCGUAGAUACCGGGAGGAAUACCAGAGGCGAAGGCGGCUUCCUAGGCUGGAUCUGACACUGAUAUGCGAAAGCAUGGGUAGCGAACCGGAUUAGAUACCCGGGUAGUCCAUGCCGUAAACGAUGAAUACUAGACGUAGGGGGUAUCGACCCCCUCUGUGUCGUAGCUAACGCGUUAAGUAUUCCGCCUGGGGAGUACGGCCGCAAGGCUAAAACUCAAAGGAAUUGACGGGGGCCCGCACAAGCAGCGGAGCGUGUUGUUUAAUUCGAUGAUAAGCGAAGAACCUUACCAGGACUUGACAUGUUUUUGACCGCCUGUGAAAGCAGGUUUUCUCUUCGGAGACAAUUACACAGAUAUUGCAUGGCUGUCGUCAGCUCGUGCCGUGAGGUGUUGGGUUAAGUCCCGCAACGAGCGCAACCCCUGUCGUUAGUUAUAAUUCUCUAGCGAGACAGCCCCCCAACGGGGGAGGAAGGUGGGGAUGAAGUCAAGUCUUCAUGAUUCUUACGUCCUGGGCUACAAACACGCUACAAUGGUUAGUACAAAGGGUUGCUAUUACGCGAGUAUGCGCUAAUCCCAUCAAAGCUAACCUCAGUUGGAAUUGCAGGCUGCAACUCGCCUGCAUGAACGUGGAGUUGCUAGUAACCGUAGGUCAGCACACUACGGUGAAUACGUUCCCGGGCCUUGUACACACCGCCCGUCAAGUCAUGGAAGUUGGCAACACUUGAAGUCGCCGAGCGAACCCGUAUGGGACGCAAGCGCCGAGGGUGGGGCUGAUGACUGGGACUAAGUCGUAACAAGGUAGCUGUACCGGAAGGUGCGGCUGGAUCACCUCCUUUCUAGGGA
RNAcentral lists this ribosomal RNA (1521 nucleotides) under Chloroflexota bacterium. RNAcentral's name for it is "bacterial SSU rRNA". It matches the Rfam family "Bacterial small subunit ribosomal RNA". The record is from RNAcentral. Lineage: Bacteria; Bacillati; Chloroflexota.